UCCAAUACUAUACACCAUAUGAUUUUACAGCAUGCCUAUUCCACUUGUUCAGCAUUGAAAUUACAUUCUAGAGUAUAACUGUAAGCCUUUUGUUUUACAGGCAGACAUAUGGUUAUGACACAUUUUAACUCCAAGACUUUACAAUAUUCAAGUGAAACAUAAAUAAUAAAACAUUAAAUGUAAUUUUUGAAUAAAACUACUUUGCAAAAU
Molecule: long non-coding RNA, 210 nt
Organism: Etheostoma spectabile (orangethroat darter)
Lineage: Eukaryota; Metazoa; Chordata; Actinopteri; Perciformes; Percidae
Exons: 3
Source: RefSeq, a predicted model, not a curated record